This 340-nucleotide ribosomal RNA is filed under the name uncultured eukaryote. Its description in RNAcentral is "partial 18S ribosomal RNA". It matches the Rfam family "Eukaryotic small subunit ribosomal RNA", at positions 592 to 975 of the family's 1831-position model. The record is from RNAcentral.
CAAUAGCAUAUACUAAAGUUGUUGCAGUUAAAACGCUCGUAGUUGAAAUUGUGGCAGUUGGUGCCUGGCGACGAAAGUUUGUUGGGUAAAAACUGUCAUUUCCUCGAGAUAUUUUUCGGGGACUGUUACUUUGAGGAAAUCAGAGUGCUCAAAGCAGGCUGUGUCGUGAAUGUUACAGCAUGGUAUAACACUAUAAGACUAAUAUAUGUUGGGACAAGAUAUGUUAGUAAUGAUUAAUAGGAACGGUCGAGGGCAUCCGUAUUUAUUUGUCAGAGGUGAAAUUCUUAGACCAAAUAAAGACGAACAAGUGCGAAAGCAUUUGCCAAGGACGUUUUCAUUG